This is a non-coding RNA of Mycobacterium sp. KMS, 68 nucleotides long. The record is from Rfam. NCBI's taxonomy places the organism in Bacteria, Bacillati, Actinomycetota, Actinomycetes, Mycobacteriales, Mycobacteriaceae.
AGCUCCACCGGGUCGACCGCGCGGGUGACGGUGAGGUAGUCGCGCAGCGCGAUGCCGUGCCGGUUCUC